UACAGAGGAGCCAAGCGUUGUCCGGAUUGACUGGGCGUAAAGCGCACGCAGGCGGUUGCGCGCGUGGGGUGUGAAAUCUGGCCGCUUAACGGCCAGGCGCCAUCCCAUACGGCGCGACUGGAGUGAUGCAGAGGUCGAUGGAAUUGCCGGUGUAGUGGUGAAAUGCGUAGAGAUCGGCAGGAACACCCAGGGGGAAACCAGUCGACUGGGCAUCUACUGACGCUGAGGUGCGAGAGCGUGGGGGGCGAACCGG
RNAcentral lists this ribosomal RNA (253 nucleotides) under uncultured bacterium. RNAcentral's name for it is "partial 16S ribosomal RNA". It matches the Rfam family "Bacterial small subunit ribosomal RNA", at positions 524 to 776 of the family's 1533-position model. The record is from RNAcentral.